UGCGUAACGCGUAUGCAACCUACCAUCAACAGGGGGAUAACACUGAGAAAUUGGUACUAAUACCCCAUAAUAUCUCAUGCGGCAUCGCAUGGGGUUGAAAACUCCGGUGGUUGAUGAUGGGCAUGCGUUGUAUUAGCUGGUUAGUGAGGUAACGGCUCACCAAGGCGACGAUACAUAGGGGGACUGAGAGGUUAACCCCCCACAUUGGUACUGAGACACGGACCAAACUCCUACGGGAGGCAGCAG
This 246-nucleotide ribosomal RNA is filed under the name uncultured bacterium. RNAcentral describes it as "partial 16S ribosomal RNA". It matches the Rfam family "Bacterial small subunit ribosomal RNA", at positions 107 to 354 of the family's 1533-position model. The record is from RNAcentral.